Molecule: ribosomal RNA, 344 nt
Filed under: Actinomycetota bacterium
Lineage: Bacteria; Bacillati; Actinomycetota
Description: bacterial SSU rRNA
Rfam family: Bacterial small subunit ribosomal RNA
Source: RNAcentral
UUGACGGAGAGUUUGAUCCUGGCUCAGGACGAACGCUGGCGGCGUGCUUAAUACAUGCAAGUCGAACGAUCCCGGGACUUCGGUUCCAAUGGGAGAGUGGCGAACGGGUGCGUAACACGUGAGAAACCUGUCCCGGAGAUGGGAAUAGCCCAGGGAAACCUGGAUUAAUACCCAAUACCCUGAGAGCGUCGCAUGGCGCAUUCAGGAAAGGUUCCGGCGCUUUGGGAGGGUCUCGCGGCCUAUCAGCUUGUUGGUGAGGUAAAGGCUCACCAAGGCAUCGACGGGUAGCUGGUCUGAGAGGACGAUCAGCCACACUGGGACUGAGACACGGCCCAGACUCCUAC